RNAcentral lists this long non-coding RNA (581 nucleotides) under Brassica napus (rape). RNAcentral describes it as "long non-coding RNA (BNAP_LNC026969)". The record is from RNAcentral. Lineage: Eukaryota; Viridiplantae; Streptophyta; Magnoliopsida; Brassicales; Brassicaceae.
GAGUUUGAUAGAGGUUUUUGAGUUAGAUAAUAGAACAAAACCUUAAAUUGUUAGAAUCGAUUGUUAGGAUAUCGGAUUGUGAUUAAUGUGAUGGUUUACGGUUUCAGGAUCUGCGGUUACUCGUAGUACGACCAAGAAGCUGUGAAGACUCGGUCAGCGCGAAGUUGUGUGGUGUAUGGGUAGAUCGAAUUAGGAAUGAACUUAUGAUGACCUAUAGUGCAACUUAAACCUAUGUAUUGAAUUUCAUUUUAUAUUAAUACAAGAUUGAUUUACCUUAUUGUUUAUACAUACUGGUCGAUUGUCUUAUGAACCUCAUAUGAUUGAAAAUGACAUAGUAAAUAUUGAACCUAAAAUGAAUCAAGAGUCGGAUUGAGUUGGUGUAAGGCUGCGGGUCUUAGUUGGGUUCAGGAACCCGAGAUCGGGUCUUACACGCAUCUCACUAUUGAUUGUCUCCUUUUUCCCACCCAAGACAUCAAAUUUCAAAAACACGGAAAUUUCAAAUUCCACAAUAUAUGCUUAAAAAGUAAGAACGGAUUAUCAAAGGAACCGUCUUUCCUUCCAUUUUCAUUAUGCCAUGCGAU